GCCUCCUUCGUCUAGUGGUUAGGACACAAGAUUUUCAUUCUUGUAACACGGGUUCGAGCCCCGUAGGAGGUA
Molecule: transfer RNA, 72 nt
Filed under: Spirochaetales bacterium
Lineage: Bacteria; Pseudomonadati; Spirochaetota; Spirochaetia; Spirochaetales
Description: tRNA-Glu
Rfam family: tRNA
About the family: Transfer RNA (tRNA) molecules are approximately 80 nucleotides in length. Their secondary structure includes four short double-helical elements and three loops (D, anti-codon, and T loops).
Source: RNAcentral